Molecule: ribosomal RNA, 497 nt
Filed under: uncultured bacterium
Lineage: Bacteria
Description: partial 16S ribosomal RNA
Rfam family: Bacterial small subunit ribosomal RNA
Source: RNAcentral
GAUGAACGCUGGCGGCGUGCCUAAUACAUGCAAGUCGAGCGAACAGAUAAGGAGCUUGCUCCUUUGACGUUAGCGGCGGACGGGUGAGUAACACGUGGGUAACCUACCUAUAAGACUGGGAUAACUUCGGGAAACCGGAGCUAAUACCGGAUAAUAUUUCGAACCGCAUGGUUCGAUAGUGAACGAUGGUUUUGCUAUCACUUAUAGAUGGACCCGCGCCGUAUUAGCUAGUUGGUAAGGUAACGGCUUACCAAGGCGACGAUACGUAGCCGACCUGAGAGGAUGAUCGGCCACACUGGAACUGAGACACGGUCCAGACUCCUACGGGAGGCAGCAGUAGGGAAUCUUGCACAAUGGGCGAAAGCCUGACGGAGCAACGCCGCGUGAGUGAUGAAGGUCUUCGGAUCGUAAAGCUCUGUUAUUAGGGAAGAACAUACGUGUAAGUAACUGUGCACGUCUUGACGGUACCUAAUCAGAAAGCCACGGCUAACUACGUG